Ictidomys tridecemlineatus (thirteen-lined ground squirrel) is the source of this 648-nucleotide long non-coding RNA. RefSeq lists it as uncharacterized. Lineage: Eukaryota; Metazoa; Chordata; Mammalia; Rodentia; Sciuridae. The record is from RefSeq and is a predicted model, not a curated record.
ACAUAAGCAUAGGAAAUGAGGGACAACAGAGUAGACUGCCUGGCCUCAGACCACCAGCUUUCACACUGAAGGCCUCAGAGCUAGUGUGCUUGAGAAUUCCACCAGAACAUACCAAAGUGCAUGCAAACAAAAUCGGAAUACUUCCUCAAGGCAAGGGGGUUUUGGCUCUUUCUCUCCAGUGUGUGAUAUUGAUGCUGUCCCAUUGCCUUCUAUUGUAACCAAGAAGACAAGAGAAGCAUGAAAGGGAAAAACAUAGUCCACUGUUUUCUGGGAAAGAAGAACAGUGAGACCCUCUUGCCUCCACUUGUCAGCCUGGGGAAGUGGAAGCUGUGUUUCCUGGAGACCUACCUGGGUGAAAAAUGCUAAAUGGGCAUCACAGAAGAGCUGCUUUAGAAGUGAAGUUUUGAUUUGAACCACUCAUUUAGUGGUUGUUAAUUAAAUCAAUUUGGUAAUCUGGGUUUUACUUUUUAAAAUGAUUCAUUCAUGAUUCCAAUAUCAUAGUAAAGAGGUAGGAAGGAAAAUGUUCAGAGUAGUAGAAUUAAGGUAGAAGAGUCUAAGAUAAUAAACAACUUCUGUCACUGAUCAUAAAUGGUUAUAAGGGGCUGGAGUUGUAGCUCAGUGGAAAAGCGCUUGCCUAGCAUGUGUGAG